RNAcentral lists this ribosomal RNA (497 nucleotides) under uncultured bacterium. Its description in RNAcentral is "partial 16S ribosomal RNA". It matches the Rfam family "Bacterial small subunit ribosomal RNA", at positions 28 to 507 of the family's 1533-position model. The record is from RNAcentral.
GAUGAACGCUGGCGGCGUGCCUAAUACAUGCAAGUCGAGCGAACAGAUGAGGAGCUUGCUCCUCUGACGUUAGCGGCGGACGGGUGAGUAACACGUGGAUAACCUACCUAUAAGACUGGGAUAACUUCGGGAAACCGGAGCUAAUACCGGAUAAUAUAUUGAACCGCAUGGUUCAAUAGUGAAAGACGGUUUUGCUGUCACUUAUAGAUGGAUCCGCGCCGCAUUAGCUAGUUGGUAAGGUAACGGCUUACCAAGGCAACGAUGCGUAGCCGACCUGAGAGGGUGAUCGGCCACACUGGAACUGGGACACGGUCCAGACUCCUACGGGAGGCAGCAGUAGGGAAUCUUCCGCAAUGGGCGAAAGCCUGACGGAGCAACGCCGCGUGAGUGAUGAAGGCCUUCGGAUCGUAAAACUCUGUUAUUAGGGAAGAACAAAUGUGUAAGUAACUAUGCACGUCUUGACGGUACCUAAUCAGAAAGCCACGGCUAACUACGUG